Bos taurus (domestic cattle) is the source of this 944-nucleotide long non-coding RNA. The record is from Ensembl. NCBI's taxonomy places the organism in Eukaryota, Metazoa, Chordata, Mammalia, Artiodactyla, Bovidae.
CCCGCCCCCCCCAACAACAAGCGUAGUGCUGCGUGCCGUCUGUCGUCUGUCGUCUGUCGUCCGCAGGGGGCUGUCUCUCCAGGACCUUUGUUUUGGAUGUGAAUGAGGACAGCUGCCAGAUCCUGCUGUCUGCUGCACACAGUCGGCACUCAGCAUCACACGAGAUGAAGAUAUGUACUGUGACCGCUGACUUCUGGCCAGACCAUCAGACUGUUUCUUUUAAAAGAGCUUCCUGGUUCCCUUUAAGUUUAGAUUUGGAUAUGUAGAAUUUAAGAGGUAAGGAGAACUAAGAAAUUUCCUCACAAAUGGAGACCCUGAAGCCCAGAGAGAGGAAGUGACCAGCUCAAGAUCACACAGCUCAUCAGUGUGGCAGAGGCGGGAAUGGAAGCCAGGUUUCUGCUCUCAUUCCAGGGCUCUUUCCAUGAUCCCUAACCUCCCUAGACACUACCUCCAAAAGGGAGCUGUGGCCAUUUGGAGUCCUGUGGUGAAUGAAAUGGAAGAUUCUUAAGAGACAUCUUUGGCUUGAUUUUGUCCUAUGUAGAGGGGCUGGGUAAUGCUCUGCUCCACGCUGGCGUGUUACAAUACCCCACUCACCUACCCUCCUCAGUUCUAUCCAUUCUAUCCCUUCCCAUCCGUGGUGAUCCAUAUAACAAAAGAGGAAAGCAGUGGGUUCAGAUUCUAAACCGGGAAUCUUGUCAUGUCCCGAGAUCUUUCCACGAUUCGCAAAACCACCGACAGGUUCCAAACUAUCAAUGUGACUGAUUUUCGUCAGGGAGGUGAUAUCAGAGGUAGUGUUUAAAGCAAUUGUUUGAGGCAACAGGAAGAACAUGAAGGAAAUGCCUGACCAUUUCUGGUCAUUCUGCCUUGUAGAGCCUUGGGAGAAAGGAAGGAAGAAGGAAGGUUUGAAAGUUCUCUGCUAUCUGGCCUAUUAAACUUUCUUAUCA